CUAGAGACUCCAAUAGUUUUCUGCUUCUCUAUGAAAAGAGAGCCCAAGCAGGAAAGGCAGGGUGGUCCCUAGGCCUGUGAGACCCUCAUUCUCCAAGUCAGCUAAGAAGCACUCCCCCUACUACCCAGGCAGAGGCUGGGGCCCCUCCCUCCCAUUGCUCCUGUGCCCUUUCCUUUCCCCUAUCCUCGUCCCCUCUCCUGGCCCCUCCCACCUUCCUCUGUGUCCCCUUCCUUUCUUCCUCCACCCCUCCACCCCGCCCCCUCCUGUGAGGAUGCCAAAGGCAUCCAGGCCUGACCCCUCAGGCAGCUCUCAGCACCUGGGACCCCCUUACCACCCACUCCUCUCUCCCUGUCCCUGUGGGCUGACAUGAGUAAAACUAUGCCUACAAGGGUGCUCCUGGCAGGGGGAUGAGCCCCACCUCCAGCAGGUGGCAUCUUGGCUGCAGCAUGAAGGCAUCCCCCAGCCAAUGCCACCUGCUCAGCCUAGAAGGUCCACUGGGCUGCCCCUGGCCCAGCUCAGUCUCCAGGAGGCUGGUGUGCUUUCCUAAUCUGCAAACGCAGAGGCCUUUCGUGUGAUUGAGGAUGAGAAUCACUCAUCGUGGGUCCACAGCUGGUCUCCCUGAAAAUGGAAAUGCCUCCUGUGAUCUGCAGGAGCUGGAGGGCGGGGUGUGGGGAGGUUUACGCCGACAAGGAAGGACACCUGAAAUGGGUCCACAGGAGUGAAAACAAUUCAUCUCCUUGAGCCAGGCCUCAAGUGGGCGAUUUAAUUAAGGCCAAAUUAGCCCCAGUCUUUGGCCCUCCCUUCUGGGCGUUGCUAGCUUAUGGUGCUCUGCGGCCCUUCCUUCCUCUUCUCCAGGACAUGAAGGUAGGAACACAGCCCUUGAAUGUGUCCCUCUGUGUGCCAGACUGGGUUCCAGGACCUAGACCACAUUCCAGGUACAGGAACCCCUGGGGGUGCUGCUCCGGAGAGGCUCAGACAUGUACCCCAUGUGCCUAGGGCUUUCCACCGGGCUGCUCAACACGCCCAGAUAAGCAGCUACUCAGAGGGCACAGCCACGGAGUGGCAGGACUGGGACCCACGGCCCAGUUGGAGUGACUGUGAUACGGUGGUCUAGUGUUGGGGAGGAGGCAAGGCCCCAGUGCCAUAUCCUCAGAAGAGCCUGGAUGAGGGUUGAGGGAGAAGGAUGGUCCUCAGGCCUCAGGUGCGCCUGGCUCAGGUGCCUCCAGAAGGAUGUUGUCCUUGAGAUAGAACCCUUAAGCAUAAUUAGGAUUGUUGGAGUUCCCAACGUGCUCAGCGGUAAUGAACCCAACUAGGAUCCAUGAGGAUGAGGGUUCAAUCCUUGGCCUCGCUCAGUGGGUUAAGGAUCCAGCAUUGCUGUGAAUUGUGGUAUAGGUCGCAGAUGCAGCUUAGGUCCCACAUUGCUGUGGCUGUGGUGUAGGUUGGCACCUGCAGCUGUAAUUAGACGCCUAGCCUGGGAACUUCUAUAUGCCACACGUGCAGCCCUAAAAGGACAAAAAAAAGAAGAGUUAGGAUUGUUAGCUCAAAAUGGAGCCUGCCAGCCCACCCCUGUGGCUACCAGGGGCCCUGGCAGAUGCCACCAACAAAGACAUGAGAGGAAAGCACACAGUAUACCAAAGCCCAAGACAGAGGAACGCAGGGCACAGACAACAGGGCUGGACGGGGGUCCCAAAUGGAGUCACUGAGCCACAGUCCCACCAAGGUGGAAGCCCUGGUCUUACCUGGCCUCUGUCUGUCCUGCUCCUCAGAGCACAGCAUGGAGCCAAGCACAGACCUGGAGGGUCUCUGCGUCUGCAGGGGUGCUGCUUAUCACCCCUCCUUCUCUGGAAAGAAGGGCAAGGGAGAGGUCGGCACUCCUGCUGCCCCGCCCCCCACUCAAGGUGUGCAAACCCAGCCCUCCAGGCAGAGAGUAUAAGCUUUGGGCAAACAUCCUGCCUUCUCCCCAGGAUAUUUCCUUUAAUAAAAGACCAUGGAAAUGUCAGCUAGUCUGAACAAAUAGCCAGGUUUUACAGAGGAUGAGCAGCCUGCACACAAGCAACUCUAGAGCCCGCUUUUCAAUGUGGGUUUGGAAAAUUGUGUGCCAGGAAGGAAGCUGAGCAUCCUUCCUGGUGGGGUGAGCCUUUAGGGCCCAGAGAGGUAAGGCUUACUGGGUUCCCAGUGGGGAAGAGGCAGGUGGACCUGAUGUGGGGUGGCUGUCCCAGGGGGCCCUGAGGAACUGGGCCAUCAGACCAGGGCUCCCUCCUGAGGACCCUCAGGUGGGGGAGGGGAUGACAGCAGGCUGGUUCUCAGGCUCAGUGUCCCUUCCUCCCUCCCUUCCCUCCCUCCAGGGGUCCACUUCCUGGAGCCCCAUCUUCCUCCCUGUCCAUCACUCAGGUCCCUGGGUUAAGGGAGGCACCAAUGAGGUCUGUCCUGAUGGGCCUCCCAAGGUGAGGUGGGCCUCACUGCCUCCACUGGACAUGGGGACCAGGAGGCCCAGACCAAGACAGGGAACUUACAGCCUGAGGCUUGGGGGAGCUAGUGGCUCAGCCCCAACAGCAUCCAGGAGCUGAACCUACUCAGGGUUUGGGGUGUCCCUGCAGACCAAGGAUGCUGGGCCCCAUAUGGGUUCCAUGGCCUCCAUGGAUUGUGUCCAAGCAAGGCCACUUUCAAGGAGAGCCAGCAAGUCGGCACCAGCUCAGGAGAGUGAGACUGGGCUCUGUCAGGCAGGCUGCAGCUGCUCAGAGGGCGAGUGGGUUGUUUUUAGGGUGAAAAUGGGCCACCUGGCCCCGGGGCUUCGUUGCAGACACUCACACCUCCCUGUCACUGGUGGGGAGGUUGAGCCCCACCCCCCAUAGGCAAGGCUGAGCAAGUGGGGGCCAGGGAGGAGCUAGGACCAAAGCCAGUGGUGGGCUCCCUGGCCAAGGCAGGGGCUCUGGACCAAGGUACAAAGGAGAGGGGUGCAGACUUCAGUGCCCUGUGGGCUGAAGAAUCUUAGCUCUGCCCCUGAUGUGCUGGCAGGAGGACCUUGGACAAGUAAAUUCACAGAACCUCCCAGAUCCCACAUCCUCAUCUGUGGAGUAGAAAGUAAUCUCCAUUGCACCUGCUGUGGAAAGGAGAGAGUAGGAAAAUUCUCUUGGUGCCGGGCACAGGGCAGGACAUUCAGUCAGUGGAAGUUCUCCACCACCCGCCACCAUGAUCCCUCUGAAGCAGGUGCUAAGGCGGACACUUCUCAGGGCAGAGGACACCAUCCUUGGGUCUCUGGGAGAAGGGAUCUGGCGCUGCAGACGUUUUCCAAGAAUGGCCAUGAAAUUAUUUCUAGUUCCAUACGACCUCUCAGAACCUUGCCACUCCCCCAUCAAGAGGGAGUCUGUUUCCUCUCCCUUUGAACUUGAGUCGGGGGCUGAGUAUGGGAGGCUGAGUGCCCCUAUCACCAGCUUCAUCCAUGGUCAGAUGAACCUGGGAGAGCCCUUCCCUGGGGUGAGGCCUGAUUCAGGAGACCAGACCCCAGUGACUGUUCUGUCCCUCCCAGCCUGAGGCCCUGGGACAAGGCUAGACCUGGAACCCAGAAUUCCUUGACUUUCAGGAAUACAGCCCCACCUGUCACGAGUCAGAGGCUCUGCCGCUCACCAUUCAAGCUCUGUCUCAUUUCAUCCACCAGAGAUUCCCAGUCCCGUUAUUUUUCACAUGAAAAAAUUGAGGCUCCAAGAUUAGCUGAGUCCCUUGUCUAAUGUGUCCCAGCCUGACCUUGGAAGAGGCACACUAGGGAAUGAUUUAAAGGCCCCAUUCUAGAUCACUUGCCAGCACCCUCAUGCCAGCCUCUGCCCCAUAUUUCUGGGGUGAAGCAGCAGCUCUCAGCCACAGGCACCCCCAUCAAUCAAUAUUUUUAAUUACUUACAUGAUUGACUCAUAAAAUUCUCCACCAACUAAUUGAUUUUGUGAUCAAGCGAGAGCCUCUGUUUUUAUUAAAAGGCUACUUAGAUGACUUUUUUUCCCCCACUGAAAUGGGAAGUUGUAUUUCUUUUGGUCAUUUUGGAAAAAGAAAAAUGGGAGAAGGCAGGUACUAGGGGGAGACCCAGAGGCCAGGAAGAUAAGAGACCCAAACCAGGAUGCCCUGCGAUAAAUUAAUUGGCAACUCUGCUCACCUAUUUAUCCUCGCAGAUACCCAGAUGCUUGAGCAGUGGGUCAGGCACUAGCCAGAGGGAUCCUCAGGCAUACACUUUACCCAAGCCAGGCUUAGCCAGCGCUGCUUCUGUUGUUUUUAAAAGUAAACUGUAAACUUCCUUUUGCAUUUUAAUAAAAAGUAUUGGCUUUUCAGCUAUGAAAGUAACUCAUUCUUCAUGCACAGUUUGGAAAAGACAGGCAAAUCUAACAAAACAAAAAAGCCAAGAGAAUGUUCUCAGCCUAAAAGGACAGUUGAUAGAGACACUGACAAAGAGCUGACUCCCACUUUUCCACAAGUCCAAAGCUCCAAAGAACUGUCACCAUAGAAACCAACCAGGUCCCAGGGCCCAGAGAAAGCUGCUCAGGGCUGCCACUUCAGCGGGCUUUGGGAUUUUGAUUUUUUUUUUUUUUUUUUUUUUUUUUUUUUGCUUUACUGCUUUGGUUUCUGACUGGUUUGGCCAUGUCCUGUGACUUGCAUUGACUCUUAUAACUGUAUUUAUAAAUGACUCCAGUGCAGCCUGUCCCAUGGAAGAGCCAUUGCCUGUGAACUGUCCCUGUGGCACACACCAAAGUCACCUUCCCUGGGCAGUGCCAGGCCUUGGUGGGGACAGGGGCUUGGAAUGGGCAGUUGGGACGAGGGAGAGAGUGGAGCAUUUUGUGGAGGGGCAGGGAACUGACAGUGGGACUAGGCCUAGGAAAGGGCACCACUCAUGGCCCUAGGCAGUCCCUUCCAUCUCCAAACCUCAGCCUCCUCCCCCAGAGUGAGGGUGCUUCUGCAAGGGACAUUAGGAGGCCUGGCCACCCCCAGGUCUCAGGCACAGGGAGGCCCAGAAGACUGGAGAGGUGCACCAGCUCAGCUCUGGGCCAUGGCCCGUCUCUGCCCAUCAUGUCCACAGUCACGGAUAUCCCACUGUGCCUGAUCUCAUGCCGACUUCAUCUUCUGUUAACUGCUACAUACCUAGCAACCAGAAUAGUGGAUGACACAAAAUGGGUGCUCAGGGACUGCAUGGCAGGUGAAGGCCGAACAAAUCCAUGUUAACCAUGAAUAUUGCUGAUGGCUGCCAAAUGGUCCUUCUGAGCAAAGAGACAAUGACCCCCACCCAUGCCUGCCCACUUAGGAAGGGCAGGGCAGACAAACAGAAUGAGGAGCCAUGACGCCUACCUCAUGCCAGCCCACUAUGCAGAGGCCACUAUUUUGUCCUCAUGGACAGAGGCAGGAAUAGCCACAGAGGAGUCAAGAGGCUCCCCAAAGCCACCUAGGCUGUCUGAAAUGGGGGUCUGGUUCUCUGUAGAGGAAGCUUCUCAGGAUCACCCAGAGGUCCAUCCCCACUGAAUCAAAGCCCAGGUAACCCACACUCACCUAGAAGUGAAGUCCCCAGACCCCCUGGGGAGCCAUGAGGCUGUCAUCAGCCCACCAUUGUGCCUAUGGGAUCCAGAACAUCUCUGGAACCUAACUUACUUUUAAAUAAAAUAAAAUUCACAUUUUUUCUUAUACCGAAAUAACAUCUUUUCAAAGUGGAAAACUGAGAAAUUAAAAACCGUAAAGAAAAGGUCAGUUGUCCUCCUCCCUUAAGUGCUAAUGACAUGGGGAGGAGAGGUGGGGACAUUUCAGAGAUGAAAAGUUCCACGAGGAGCUGGCCACUCCCCUCUGGACCUCAGUAUGCCUGAGGGACACGCUCACAUCCAGGUCCGUUGUGACCUCCACACUGCUGGCUGCCCUUGAUGCAGUGAGUCACUCCCUCCUGGAAGCAUCUCCCUCCCUGGCCGGUACAGUGGAGCAGCAGCAACGGGAGGCCAAGGCAGAAUCCCAGCCCACACAGACAGCCCUGGAGUCUCACCUCACCUGCCACCCACCCCCGCUGGUCCCCAGCUGGUCAGCUCCACCCUCUCGUCCUGACGUGUGGACUUUGGAAUGUCCCCGGAGCCUCUGCUCUGGUCCUCGUCUCCCUCCCCACCCCCUCUUCGGUGAGCUCAUCCAGGCUGUGGCUUCAAGCAUCUGUGCGCUCAUGCCGCCCACGAAGAAUGCUCUGACCCUCUAAAAGGCACCUCCAGGGUGACUUACGGUGACUCUUCUGAUCCAUUCUCCUGGCCCUUACCACCCCUCCCCUCCGCCAGAACUCCAAGGCAGCAGGUGGCAACCUCGGCCUUCCAGGUGUUCCAUUCAGGUGGGAGCUAAGCCACCAUCACACUGCUGUUGUUCCCACCCUCCAUCCACAGACCCUCUGAGCUCACCCGGGGGGUCCUGGCCAUGCUGGCCCUCAACUAGGCCAUUCCAGUUGCUCCUGACUGGCCUCCCAAGCCACCUGCCCGUGCUUUUCGGAGUGGUGAUCCUGAGAAGAAGCAGAAGCGCAUCAUUACCUCCUGGCUCACUAUCUUCCCAAGCCCCUUGCUCCCUCCCUCUAAGGAAAAUCCUUCACCUUUGCUGUGGUCUUCAAUGGCCACGGAAUCCAGCCCCUGCCACCUCGCCAGCCUUAUCUCCAAAACCCUUCCCUGAUCCCUGCGCUCCAGCCGCAGUGGCCUCCCUGGGGCCCCUGGAGACCACCAAGCAUGUUGCCUCCAUCCCCCAAAAGCAGGGCCUGAGACAAGGACUUGUGGUGGCUAGUUGGUUUGGGAGGCGAUGGCAGGAGUGAGAGAAAGGAGAAAAGCCAGUGGAGGGGUGGUCAUCAGUGGGCGCUGGGGAGCCGCUGGGCCCUCCUGAGAAACUUUCAGAACCCUCCACAGGAGGAUGUGCCUGCCACUGGAACAUGACCCAUCCUCCCGCCCCACUUCAUCAGUGUUGCCACAACUUUAUCUCCCUGUCCCCUCAGUCUGCCGUGGGAAGGCCCCCCUCCUACUAUUAACAGUAGUAGUUAAUUACUGCUGUUCCUUUUGUGAUUAACAAGCACGGUUGUUUCCACUGUUCAAACUUUCACCCACAAAUUUAGCAUUUGCUGAUAAAUCUUGUCUGAAUCAAUUAUCAUUACCAAAUGUUAAUUUUUCUAAAUUCCAUCUACAUUAGCUGACAUUCUACUAUAAGGACAAGUUUUCCUUUUGUUUUUGCUUGUUUAAUCUUGUUAUAGACACAUGGAGUUUUAAUUUCAAUGGUUAUAAUUCAUUACUGUAAUUUCUCAUUUUGGUGCUCAAAAUGUCCCUUUUGGGUCAAUGGGAGCCCCUUCAAGCUUGCUCCUGUGUCCCUUUGAAUGUCCCUAUCAUACUUUACUUCCUUUCUGUCACAACAAGCCAGUCUAAGUCUAUAUAUAUAUAUAGACAUAUAUAUUUGGCCUCACCCACAGCAUGUGGAAGUUCCUAGACCAGGGAUAGAACCCAGACCUCAGCAGCGACAUGAGCCACAGCAGUGACAAUGCUGGAUCCUUAACAACUAGGCCACCAGAGAAUUCUUUAAGUCCAAUUUAAAUUCCCUGUCCCAGACCUGGAAUCAAUCAUUUCUGCAAGAAGCCUUGGUUCCUGACUCCUUUUAGCAGAGACUGUAUUUAGAAACCAAGAUUUAGGUACUGGAUGUUGUUGCUGGGGUGUUUGCAACAUUUUUAAAGGUUGAAAGUAUCCAGGAUUAGUGAGGCACUGGCAAAGAGCAUUCUUGUUCUCAGUCACUGGGGAGUGACUGCUGAAGCAGUGAGGAAGGGCAUUUGGUCAUAGCUGUCACAUGGUGAUAGGUGUGCAGGUGCAUGCAGCCGUGCCACUUGUAGGAGUCUCUUCAAACUCGCACCCAGGGACACAAAACAACACGUUGGAAUCAACCCGUGUCCAUUGACAAAAAGAAACUAAGGAAAUCAUCAUACUCCCUUCCUAACACUUUGCAUCCAUUGAAAUCAACGAACCAAACUUAAGUCCAUGAAUUGUAUUUGGAGGACCAACUUACAGAAUGCCAUGUAUAAUCUGAUUUUUUAAAAAUUUAUUAUGGGUACCUCUUACAUAGGUGAGUGUGUUUGCGUAGGGAAAACUCUAAAAGGACACACUCCAAUCUCCUAGGCAACGUUGUCCCUCUGAGUUAUGGGAGAAGGGCGUGGAGGUUGAAAACAUGGGAGCAGAAGAUUGUAGUUUUAAUUUUACACACUCCUGAACUAUUUGAAGAUGUUCUAGCAGCCAUGUAUUUCUUUCACAAUUU
Molecule: long non-coding RNA, 8260 nt
Filed under: Sus scrofa (pig)
Lineage: Eukaryota; Metazoa; Chordata; Mammalia; Artiodactyla; Suidae
Description: lncRNA (ENSSSCG00000058756.1)
Source: RNAcentral